AAUAAGCGGAGGAAAAGAAACCAACAGGGAUUGCCCUAGUAACGGCGAGUGAAGCGGCAACAGCUCAAAUUUGAAAUCUGGCUCUUUCAGAGUCCGAGUUGUAAUUUGCAGAGGGCGCUUUGGCGUUGGCAGCGGUCCAAGUUCUUUGGAACAGGACGUCACAGAGGGUGAGAAUCCCGUACGUGGUCGCUAUCCUUCGCCGUGUAAAGCCCCUUCGACGAGUCGAGUUGUUUGGGAAUGCAGCUCUAAAUGGGAGGUAAAUUUCUUCUAAAGCUAAAUACUGGCCAGAGACCGAUAGCGCACAAGUAGAGUGAUCGAAAGAUGAAAAGCACUUUGGAAAGAGAGUCAAACAGCACGUGAAAUUGUUGAAAGGGAAGCGCUUGCAGCCAGACUUGCCUGUAGUUGCUUAUCCGGACUUUUGUCCGGUGCACUCUUCUAUAGGCAGGCCAGCAUCAGUUUGGGCGGUUAGAUAAAGGUCUCUGUCAUGUACCUCUCUUCGGAGAGGCCUUAUAGGGGAGACGACAUGUAACCAGCCUGGACUGAGGUCCGCGCAUCUGCUAGGAUGCUGGCGUAAUGGCUGUAAGCGGCCCGUCUUGAAACACGGACCAAGGAGUCUAACAUCUAUGCGAGUGUUUGGGUGUCAAGCCCAGACGCGUAAUGAAAGUGAACGGAGGUAAGAACCCUUUGGGUGCAUUAUCGACCGAUCCUGAUGUCUUCGGAAGGAUUUGAGUAAGAGCAUGGCUGUUGGGACCCGAAAGAUGGUGAACUAUGCUUGAAUAGGGUGAAGCCAGAGGAAACUCUGGUGGAGGCUCGCAGCGGUUCUGACGUGCAAAUCGAUCGUCAAAUUUGGGCAUAGGGGCGAAAGACUAAUCGAAC
This 876-nucleotide ribosomal RNA is filed under the name Chaetosphaeronema hispidulum. RNAcentral's name for it is "partial large subunit ribosomal RNA". It matches the Rfam family "Eukaryotic large subunit ribosomal RNA", at positions 45 to 940 of the family's 3401-position model. Lineage: Eukaryota; Fungi; Ascomycota; Dothideomycetes; Pleosporales; Phaeosphaeriaceae. The record is from RNAcentral.